Molecule: non-coding RNA, 1260 nt
Organism: Ictidomys tridecemlineatus (thirteen-lined ground squirrel)
Lineage: Eukaryota; Metazoa; Chordata; Mammalia; Rodentia; Sciuridae
Source: RefSeq, a predicted model, not a curated record
UCAAGGCCAGUGGCCAGUGGGGACCAGGCAUUGCUCAGGCAGGUUUCUUAUCCUAAAUCCCACUGAUGUUCCCACCCUGGUGUCACCUGCCACAUGGAUACAGCAGGACCCUGGCUGCCCCCCUUUUGUGCUCCUGGAAAGGUAAGUUUUAAAAAGGUGGAGAGAGUCUAUUGGAAGCAGCCUGGAGAUAAACAGUUUCCUUCACCCCAAGUGUGAGCCUCGGGCCACCCAUCUGCCACAGAGAUGUGUGUGGGAGCACAGAGUGUGCACAACUAGGAGACUAAGGCUGGUGUGUCUUUGGCUGCAGUUGGCUCUUUAUAAACUUUCUUACUAUGGAAGAUUCCACACAUAUUCAAAGUACAGAGAACAGUGUGAAGAACCAGCGUUCCCACAUCCAUCUUCGGUCUCCAUACAGCAUCUUUUAAAUGUGCAACUGGCUGAAGUGUCAUUUGGAAAAAGGGAAGCAACCUUAUCAACCACUGACCCAACGUGACGGCUCCCACGUUUAUGUGACCUGUGUAGUCACCAAAGGCAUUUGAGUUUCAGAGCCUCAGAAUUAUUCAGAUGCUGCUGGAUCCAUAGAGUGGUUUCUAGUCUCAUGGAGACUAUUAUCAAGUGGAUUGCAAAUCAGAGUUACAGUGGCAUGGGCCACGUGAGAUGCAUCUGCAUGUAGGGCGUCACAGAGAGAGCACUCAGGUGCCUCUGCCAUCCAGAUGGAGCUGUGGAGAAGGUGCCCUGCUUGGCAUGGCAAAAAGCAGAGCUCUGCAGAAGGAGAAGCAGAGACUCGGCCACAGAGGCUGGACAUGGAGCACGAGGACAUGGGGCAUGAGGACAUGGAGCACUGCCGGGCACCCCCAGCUCCUGCUCCAACCGAGCAGUCUGGUUGGAACAGGGGAUCUAUUGCCAAACCCAGGGUCUCUAGGAAGCCAACCCUCGGAGCCCACGGUCUACCUGGUCCUUCACUCCACCCAGGCAGAGAGCUCUGUGAAGUUGGAGACCACAUCUGUCCUCUUUACCAUCGUGACCAGCAGUGUGAGAAGCCUCACAGUUGUCUCCAGCCCUGGGAAAUGCGUCAAAUGCCCACAGAGACAAGGGACCCCAGAGCAGUGUCCCUACCCCUUUGCCACAUUUCCCCACUAGUCAGUGGAGUGCCUAUUUCUGUUUUACAUUCCUGAGCUAGUAUCCCCAAUUCUGAUUUGUAAGCACCUCAUUAUUUCCCAGGCUUGAUAAAAUGGGAAACUUCCAUGGAUUUGAAGAUUA